GUGAGGAAUAUUGGUCAAUGGACGAGAGUCUGAACCAGCCAAGUCGCGUGAAGGAAGACGGUUCUAUGAAUUGUAAACUUCUUUUGUGCAGGAAUAAAGUGGGUUACGUGUAACCUUUUGUAUGUACUGUACGAAUAAGGAUCGGCUAACUCCGUGCCAGCAGCCGCGGUAAUACGGAGGAUCCGAGCGUUAUCCGGAUUUAUUGGGUUUAAAGGGUGCGUAGGUGGAUUGAUAAGUCAGCGGUGAAAGUUUGCAGCUUAACUGUAAAAUUGCCGUUGAAACUGUCGGUCUUGAGUGCAAAUGAGGUAGGCGGAAUGUGUUGUGUAGCGGUGAAAUGCUUAGAUAUAACACAGAACUCCGAUUGCGAAGGCAGCUUACUGGGAUGCAACUGACACUGAUGCACGAAAGCGUGGGUAUCAAACAGGAUUAGAUACCCUGGUAGUCC
RNAcentral lists this ribosomal RNA (445 nucleotides) under uncultured bacterium. Its description in RNAcentral is "partial 16S ribosomal RNA". It matches the Rfam family "Bacterial small subunit ribosomal RNA", at positions 354 to 796 of the family's 1533-position model. The record is from RNAcentral.